Molecule: ribosomal RNA, 154 nt
Filed under: Chaetomiaceae sp.
Lineage: Eukaryota; Fungi; Ascomycota; Sordariomycetes; Sordariales; Chaetomiaceae
Description: partial large subunit ribosomal RNA
Rfam family: Eukaryotic large subunit ribosomal RNA
Source: RNAcentral
CGGCAACAGCUCAAAUUUGAAAUCUGGCUUCGGCCCGAGUUGUAAUUUGCAGAGGAAGCUUUAGGCGCGGCACCUUCUGAGUCCCCUGGAACGGGGCGCCAUAGAGGGUGAGAGCCCCGUAUAGUUGGAUGCCAAAUCUCUGUAAAGCUCCUUC